RNAcentral lists this ribosomal RNA (850 nucleotides) under uncultured bacterium. RNAcentral's name for it is "bacterial SSU rRNA". It matches the Rfam family "Bacterial small subunit ribosomal RNA", at positions 29 to 873 of the family's 1533-position model. The record is from RNAcentral.
UUGAACGCUGGCGGCAUGCCUUACACAUGCAAGUCGAACGGCAGCACGGACUUCGGUCUGGUGGCGAGUGGCGAACGGGUGAGUAAUGCAUCGGAACGUACCCGGAAGUGGGGGAUAACUAUCCGAAAGGAUGGCUAAUACCGCAUAUUCUGUACGCAGGAAAGAGGGGGAUCUUCGGACCUCUUGCUUUCGGAGCGGCCGAUGUCAGAUUAGCUAGUUGGUGGGGUAAAGGCCUACCAAGGCGACGAUCUGUAGCGGGUCUGAGAGGAUGAUCCGCCACACUGGAACUGAGACACGGUCCGGACUCCUACGGGAGGCAGCAGUGGGGAAUUUUGGACAAUGGGCGCAAGCCUGAUCCAGCCAUGCCGCGUGAGUGAAGAAGGCCUUCGGGUUGUAAAGCUCUUUCGGCCGGGAAAAAAUCGGUGAGGCUAAUAUCCUCAUCGGAUGAUGGUACCGGACUAAGAAGCACCGGCUAACUACGUGCCAGCAGCCGCGGUAAUACGUAGGGUGCGAGCGUUAAUCGGAAUUACUGGGCGUAAAGCGUGCGCAGGCGGUUUUUUAAGACAGGCGUGAAAUCCCCGGGCUUAACCUGGGAACUGCGUUUGUGACUGGAAGGCUAGAGUACGGCAGAGGGGGGUGGAAUUCCACGUGUAGCAGUGAAAUGCGUAGAGAUGUGGAGGAACACCAAUGGCGAAGGCAGCCCCCUGGGUCGAUACUGACGCUCAUGCACGAAAGCGUGGGGAGCAAACAGGAUUAGAUACCCUGGUAGUCCACGCCCUAAACGAUGUCAACUAGGUGUUGGGUGGGUAAAACCAUUUAGUACCGGAGCUAACGCGUGAAGUGACCCGCC